Molecule: non-coding RNA, 1821 nt
Organism: Paramisgurnus dabryanus
Lineage: Eukaryota; Metazoa; Chordata; Actinopteri; Cypriniformes; Cobitidae
Source: RefSeq, a predicted model, not a curated record
ACUGUUGUCACAGCAACCAAGUUUAAAAUCAUGGGUGGACUGACACCGCCCAAGAAGCCCUCGACCUCACAAACACGACAAAAAGCGCUUAAAUGCACGGUCGAGUUGAAAAUCCAAGCUAUCACUUGUCCAGGGGUGGUGUUACAAUCCCAAGAGGACAUUUAUCUGAGUGUUCGAAUUAUGGGCCAGUACCAAAAGUCCAAGUGCGUUCCUCCAACGUUCCCUCUCCGGAUGCAUGAGAAAAUGUUGUUCGUGAAGACCUUUGUGGGAGUGGUUGACCCAGGUGUUAUAGCUGAGCAUCUAGAAAAUGAUACAACCUCUUUAGAGCUCAUUCAACUUGUUCCUCCAGAGGGUGAAAUCCUGGCCACGUUUGAAGACAACACCCGGGAAUUUCUGUAUCCAGGCACGCGUCUCACACCCAGAACCCCUGGUCCAGAGAGAGAGAUUCUGAUGAAGAGAUCUGUCUCUUUUCAGGGAAUCUCUCCCAAAGUGGAGUUUUCAACGACGUCCAUUAUUGAGGAGUGUGAAGUGAAACAUGGUCAGCCUGCCAUGUCCUUAUGUGGCCCUUCUUCCAAAAAAACGUGUCAUGUGAGAACGAGCCCUGCAGUUACAAAGAAGAGGAAGGCAAAAACAGCAUCAUCACCAUGUGGUUAUGCUAAACCAACGGUGGCGUCCCAAACCCGUUCACCCUCACCGUACACAAACCGCAGGAUGUGUCAGCUGUCUGAGGAAGCCAGGCAACGACUCGGACACCUUAAACUAGGACCCUACACCUUUAAGAAAGAGACGGUGCCUCAGGCUCCAUUUGUGGUUCCCCGAAGUCCAAAUUCUUCGUUGAUGGAGUCGCCCACACGUCCUGCAUCGCUGCUUUCUAAUAAAAGAAGCCCCCUCCACCUGCGAUCACCGAGCCGUACUGCAGACCUCACAGAUCCCUCUCUGCUUGGAAGUUUCCGAUCAAAGCCCACCCAGGCAAGCAGUGGUACCCAAAAUAAAUCCCCAAAAAAUAAUUCCAGCCCUGUGUCCAACACGCUCCGAGGACAAAGUCCAGUCCUGACCCGCUCCUCCCUUAAAGAACGGUUUCAAAGUCCUACAAGUCCUUCACAGGAGAUCCACAAGCGGGUGCAGAGAAUCUUAAACAUCCACGGGCCGCACCGCAAGCUUACUUUUGUACGUAACGUUCCCCCAUGCAAAGUCAAAAUGAGCUUUUGUAUAGUGUAAGCAGCGCAUGAAAACGAACACAGGGAGCACACAUACUGAUAAAUAAUGUAUACCUUAAUGUAUACAUAAUGCACUGUAAUGGAUGAAAGUGUCUGCCAAAUGCGUUAAUGUAAAUGACACUUAAGUGUACUUGAAACCUUAUCCAUUGAUUCUGUCAGAUGGUCUCUAUUCACAUCCAUUGUGUCAGGAUGUGCCACCACUAUUUCUAGGAAGUGAACGAGGUAAUCGCCUUACGUGCCUAUUCUUUGUCAUGAAUCGCUUGUGUACUUGAAUCGUGAGCAGUUCAAAAGCAUCAUCACCCACGUUGCAUUUCACCGCAACAGCCUGAUGUGAAAGCAAAGAAGUCUAAUUACUCUAAAGCUUCCCCAAAUCCCCCCUUAGAGAAAAAAAGCAAAAGGUUUUUCGUGGGAGGUAUGACGGCUGUCGGUACAGGCUCAUAUCUUUUCAGAUGGUUGAGUGAGGGAGGAAAGAUGACACUGUGACACCGCUGUGUGGCUAAAGCCCAACUCAAGAUGAAGCAAAUGCAAAGGAAGAGCUCGGGCAGAGCAUACAUGAGCCCAUCCAUGGUGACUUAGUAUUUGACAUACAGCCACCACAGGACAG